UAUUGAUUACACUUUUUUUUUUUUAGCUUUGUGAAGUAAUUAAUAAGUUCAAAAUAAGUUCCUACUCGACAGAGUAUGCGAUUUCGGACGCAGCCAUAGUGUAUAGUGCAUCAUUUGGGACACAAUUACAGACUACCAUUGUAAGUGCACUACAAAGUUUAAGUUUUUCUCAAGUGAAAAUAAUUUUGCACACAUUUAAGCUGCAGUAGAGAUCUAUAAUUUGCAGUUUAUGGAAGUAAAACAGUUCUGUGUGUUUGUGUCCUGAUUAAAGUAUCGAUCUAGUGAGUUUUUGAGGAAAAAGGGAAGUAUCCUUAUCUGAGAAAGUUCAAUUGCUGUUGCACAUAAAUCCUUUGAUAUUUUCAGUUAUCUUUCUUUGGCUUUAGACUGAAGAGUAAAAGUAAACACCUCAAAUUUGACGUUUUCGUGCUUUUAGUUUAAGAAACUGCAGCAUAAAUUGCUGUGUUUUUAUUAAGCCACAUAUAAAACCAUUUUUAUCACUUGUGCAUGUCUCAUCUACGCAAUCCUAUUCCCUUCUCAUUAAUGUCAGAUUAAACCUUAAAUAGUAUUCUAAUAAAACACUUACUGUCACCAUUAGACGUUAUUAAAUCUUAUAUGUAUUGAAGUGUUAGACAGUAAUUUACUCUAAUGUGUAAGCUUUGGUUAAAGUGAAGGGACAGUAACAUUAAAUCUAGACGUCAGAGGAAAACUGAAAACUGAAUAUAAAACAAAGUUUCAUCAACAUGCAAAGCAACAGACACGGUUACCUAAAUCAGCGGUGGGUCGAAAAAAGCAGAGUAAAAACAAUGCUAAAUGCUAAUAAUAAAAUACAACUAACCAUAUCAUCAAAGCAAACAAUUUUCCCAUAUCAUUUUAUUGCAAUUUCAAAGGCAUAUUUUUGCUGCUUUUGUUUUAGGCUGGUAACUUCUGCUGUCGUUUAUGCAUUUAAAAAAUGAUCACAAUAACAUUUGUGAUAUAUCUGACAAUUUUGCAUGUUGUUGAGGUUAGUGUUAUGCCAUGUAUGAAAACACUCUAAAAAUGACAUAAAACCCUCCAGCUGUAACUAACCAAUACAUUCUGUAGUGUGUUUUUGAGUGUGUUUGAUCACAGAUGGCUGACGGAACCGGUGCAGCUGUUGCACACGCCUGCCAUACUCUUACGGAGAUUGGUUUUGGCUCACCCGGGGCAGUUAUACGACAGCAGGAGGGCAUUAUGGGUAAAUGGUCAUGUGGUGUGAUCUGUUACAUGAACAUCUUUCACAGUGAGGGUGUUUGUUUACCUCUGUGUCAUGGUGUAGAUUUUGAUUACAGGUUCACACACACAAACAGCAGCUUACUCAUCUACCCACGUGGAAAUGAUUCAAAAUAAUACUGAUUUUCAACUUCAGUGAAUUUAAACAGGAUUAUUUACAUCAUAAAUAAAGGGAGAAGUGGUUGACCUUUUAAAAGGGAUUUCCAGAAAAUAUUCAGUCACAGUCUGUUGAUGUUCAUCUUACACAACACUUUCACUGCAAUUCAUUACUAUUUUACAUUUUGGAGAAUUGGUAUGAAUUUUUACGAUCCCAUUUGUUAGUUUUUGUACGAUCUAACAACCCAAAUGGUUAUAUUUUCUCAUGAAAUCGAGUUGUAGGCAACUCAUAUUGUCUUUUGCCAUGUCUACCACAUUUAAGACAAACAACUAAGUUUUUAAUCAUGUUUUAAAAGUGUGACAUAAAUCUUUGCCUAUGUACAGCAGUGUCAAACAAUUCAAGAAGGUUGUUGUUGAUGUUUAGCAAAAAAAGUGACUUUAAACAGUCCUUUUUAAAAACUUGUAUAAUAUAUAUAUAUUUAAACUUCUGCAGUCAUCCACAAAAAACUGGGAAAAAAAUCACUGAAGCUCAUUGAAAACUGUCACUGAUCUAGCGGAGAUGUGCUCCCCUGUCAUUUCUCAUUUCCACAAUCACAAAAUUUGUGAUGGAAAUGUUGAGAAUUUGUAAUACUUUUCAUUUUACAAAUUUUACACAUAAAUUUAGGUUUGUAAGGAGGAAGUGCAAAGUUGAAUAUUCCUGAUUUUUUACUAUUUUUAUAGGCUAUUUAUUAUAAAAAAGAAAGUUUGGCUACUUUCAUACUUCCCUGGGUAAUUGUUUCAAAGGCACUUGACUCCCUCUAUUGGUUGCCUACUAGAUGUAUAGGCAGCAUUAGGAAUAUGAUCAAGAAAAUUCUUUUGAGAUUCUUUGAUUUGAACACAAAAAUAUUAUCUGAAAAUGUAAAGUUUUACUCGCUAUCUUGGCAAAUAUGAGCACAGUUUGAGACAUUGUUGAGACCUCCAGGAGAGGAGACACAUGUGAGAUAACUGGGGUAUUUUUCUCAGGCCGGUUGUAAGAAUAGUGUUAGUAGUUUAUGCAAGUUAGCCAUCUAUUUUUUUCAUUCUUCUUUAAGACUGAUCAUAACUUUUAAAUCAUCCAUAUUAAAAACAUAGACUGGUCCAAUUUGAAUCCGAAAAGUAAGACUGAUCCCCUUGGCUAACUGCUAGUUGGUCAAUUCUGUCCUUCACAGCCUCGCUUUCAAACCUGUCAUGGCGCUGCUCUGAAUAAGGUCUAUUACCGCUGCUCUGCAAAAUCCAGUCAUUCCAAUAGGAAUCUGUGCGAUCAGGAGUUUCGCUUUUGGGGGCGAAUGUGAAUUUGCCGCGCUGGCGAACGUUGCUUGGUUUGAAAGUGACUUCUGGGAGCAGUGCUUAUACAUGGACCUUUUUUACAGGCGAAAUUUAGUGGAAAUAUCACUUACUUGACCGUGCCUUAAAGGGUUAGUUCAACCAAAAAUAAAAAUUCUGUCAUUAAUUACUCACCCUCAUGUCUGUAAGACCUUCAUUCAUUUUUGGAACACAAAUUAAGAUUUUUUUUUUUUAUGAAAUCCGAGAUCUUCUGUCCUCUCUAUAGACAGCAACGUCAUAACCAAUUUCAAGGCCCAGAAAGACAUCAUUAAAAUAGUGAAUGUGACUACAGUGGUUCAACCUUAAUGUUAUGAAGCGACGAGAAAACCUGGCAACCCUGCCCUGCUUAUCAUAUACAUGCCUGCCGAUGUGCUUCAUUUUAAUAUCCUGCUUAAUUUACGACUUAAAAUAUUCUAGAUAAUCCGAAAAUGUGUUGCAGAAUGAUGAACACAUUUAUAAUUUAUUACUAAUUCAGUGUAUAUACACAUAGAGGUCUAUGUUUGGAUGAAUAUUUUGCCUACAGAGGAGCCACAGCUGAACUUCAACGUGUUUUCAAUGGCAUUCGCUGUAUAAAGCUCCUAUUUCACUUAUAAUUUUCCACAGCUCAAGUUUUUUGUCUACUGAAAAUUCUUGGAAAGAUUUUUUUAGUGUUUCUUCAGUAGAACAAUCCAAAAACACAUUAAUUAACAGCAUACAACCCACUGCUACCCCUCACAGCCUCGCUUUCAUUUACUGUUAAAAAUCAAAGAUGGCGCUGGGUACCACUUGUCUGUUGUGGCCGCGCCUUGACAUGGUGGGUGUGUUUGUUAUGUAACUUCAGAAAAGUCUGCAUUUAAUCUAAAUGAACUGAGCUUAGCUGGUAGGAAAUGUAAAUUGAAUAUUUCAAAAAGACACCAGCCCAAAAUUACACUCAACAAUCAUUCUGAAUAUCUAUCACAGGCUCUAUGUUCCCUCACCAUUUCCAUCUCUCGCGCCGCUCACAAUAUCAUCAACUCGCACGUCAUUUGAACCCUCUCGGAUAUGGUAAAUCACGCCAGUGUUGUAAUUCCCGCAGUAUUCCCCGGUUCACUAACCGCAUUUUAUCUCCCCCUUACUGUGUAUUAUUAUAAAAUAUAUCUAAACAGCUAUAAAAAGAGGUCGUGCCAGCUGUCUCCGCCGUUCACCAUCUCAUUCUUAACAGAAACAAAUGUGUUUAAUAACCUCUGAGAAAGCUUUAGCGCUCGUUAUCAUAAAAAAAACAGACUAAACGUAUAAACCCGAUUAGAGUCAAUGAUGCGGUUUAAAAAGCGACUGUGAUUCACUGCAGUUGUUUAAGAGUUGGGUCUGUAAAAGAGGAACGAGAGCUUCAUUUGAGUCAUCUGUUGAUAAUGUCCUCAUCUUCACGCUAAACUACUGAAGGACAAUUAAAAAUACACUUUUUUUAAACGUACAUACACGUCAUUGGGCAUAAACUUUGGCAUUACGGGCUGUAUUGAGAAAUUGUAAUAAUAGGCCUAUAACAUAAACGAAAUAUUUUCCAAAUAGCCUAUUUUUCGCAUAUAGCUAUUAAUUUUAACAGUAGGCUAAAAUAUGAUAAAAAAUAAAUAGGCCUUUUUUUGUUGUUGUUGUUGUUUUUUUUUACAUGAAAAUAUAGCUGCCUUUAAAUUUCAGGAUGGGGGACCCUGGUACCAGGAUGAUCAUGGGGGUCCAUGGCAUCUAAAAGAUUGAAAACCCCUGUAGGACCCCUGACUGGGUUUUCAAAGCGCUUCAUUUUUUAUUAAUUAAAAUCUCUGCACUUCUUCAAUUGACUCAAUAUAUGACUUCACAGCGCCAGCCACUGGUGGACAUAAGAUACUGCAUGUGGAAAAUUGGGUUUAUUUUACUAAAAAAUCUACUCACCUUUGCUAAUAUCUUGUGUGUAUUGUGAACAUGUUAAAAUGCAUGAACACUGCUAGUGCUAAGAAAGAAAACAAGAUUUAUACAGUGGGAAAUGAUUUAGUCGAUUUCUCACAAAAUGCUAUAAAACGACUUUGAAUAUAGUGCAAGUUAUCAUUUUUAUGAUAUUUAAACCAAAAUACCACAUGACUGUGUCACUUUCAUUGCAGCAUGGAAGCCAUUAGCUUGCUAAGCUAACUCUGCUAACCACCCUUAUCCUUUUGUUUUCCACAGACAAAAUAACAUCACGUUUUGAACAAAAUAAGGUUGAGUAGAUGAUGCCAGAACUUUAUUUUUAGGUGAACUUUACCUAGUUAUACACUCAGUUUUGUAUUUUAAAAAUAAAAUGUGAGUGUUUGUUUACUGCCAAAAUGCUAGUGUGUGGGUGGUUGCGAUACUGUUGCUAUAGGUCCAGUUUUAACAUCCAACAGAUGAAAUAUAUUUGCUUAGUGUAAUAGCAGACCUUGAUUUUAGGUAUAAUUGUAGCACAAAUAGUGCUGAACUGGUUUUGUGCCAGUGUUUAAUAUUUAUAGGGGUUUGUUUAAAUCCUUAAUAAGUAUGAGCAAUAGCGAUGUUGUAAUGUGUGUGUUAGAAAUACUGGCUGAUUCUUAGUUACUGAGCAAUUCACUGAACCAUAAUCAUGAUAUUUGUAUGUGUUUGUAUGACCCAUAAUCUCCUUUCUCUUCAACAUGGCUUUUCCUUCCUCAUUGAUUUAUUUGCAAUCUCAACAAUAUCAAACAAGUGAGGAAACCAAUUCCUUUGCCCCCUCAACCUGUUCUCCACCAAUUAAGGAAGUCAUCACUGUUAAUCAUAUUUAUCUUUAUGAGCAUGGGUGCAUCACAUUAAAUGUAGGAAAACUGUUGGCAAAUAGCUAAUGAAAAAGCAAAUAGUGAGGCCAAUAAAACUCACUUGGAAUAGGACUUUAUGAUAUCUUGGUGACGUUUCACAAUCAAUGAUUUUGGGGUACAAAAAGGAUGGGAAUAAAAAAACCAGAUAAGAACCGCUGAAGAACUGCUAGACCGCCACCAGAGCUUCAAACCGAGGGUGUGGAAAUGUCUCUUCUCACAAGUCUGACACAGGUGUCCAUCCUUGCGAUACUUCUCAUCCAGUGCGCGACCAGCCUUCCAGUUCUUGGCAGGUAUCUCGGAGAAGAGGACAGCAUCCCAAGAACAGAUAUCUUUUCUCCCAGAAAUGUGUUGUUUCCCAGGGAUGAUGCGGAUACGUUUGUUGCAGACCAAGGCGGGAGAUCUGGGCUUCAGACGAGGCAGUUGGGCGACAUUGAGUUCACAAAUAGAUAUGCUGAACUCCUGAAAUCUAAAGCUAAAAUCACAUCCAUCUGCGCCUUCCUGAAACGCAUGCAGAACAGCAAGAAAAGUGGCGUCGGUGGAGAUUCAGACAGAUUGAUUUUCCUGUUGAGACAGUAUUCAUGUCCAAACAUGUACCAGUGAAGACUGUGUCCAAAGAAACCAACUUCACAAUGUCUGAAUCAGUUUUAACAUGUUUGAGACAAACUGUUUGUAUAUAUUUGAAUAAAUAAUGACAUUUUUCCCACUCCAAACGUGUCACAAAAAGUACAGAUUGAAAUGUAGUCAUAACCAAAUGACUUUUCUCAGAUGCAAAUUAAACUCUGGAUUUGA
Molecule: long non-coding RNA, 6236 nt
Organism: Ctenopharyngodon idella (grass carp)
Lineage: Eukaryota; Metazoa; Chordata; Actinopteri; Cypriniformes; Xenocyprididae
Exons: 5
Source: RefSeq, a predicted model, not a curated record